RNAcentral lists this ribosomal RNA (254 nucleotides) under uncultured bacterium. Its description in RNAcentral is "partial 16S ribosomal RNA". It matches the Rfam family "Bacterial small subunit ribosomal RNA", at positions 524 to 776 of the family's 1533-position model. The record is from RNAcentral.
UACGGAGGGGGCUAGCGUUGUUCGGAAUUACUGGGCGUAAAGGGCGCGCAGGCGGCUGCUCAAGUCAGGCGUGAAAGGCCUGGGCUCAACCCGGGAAUUGCGCUUGAGACUGGGCUGGCUUGAGUGCGGGAGAGGAUGGUGGAAUUCCCAGUGUAGAGGUGAAAUUCGUAGAUAUUGGGAAGAACACCAGUGGCGAAGGCAGCUCGCUGGGACGGUACUGACGCUGAGACGCGAAAGCGUGGGGAGCAAACAGG